CAAAGUUCCUUGCUGACAUGUCAUUUUCACUCUUACUGUACAGCAACAACUGUAAACCUUCAAUUUGACUGUCAUCUAAGAACCGUUGAUAUGAAGGCGCUGGACAAUCUUCGGUCAGUUCAAUGCACAUCGAGUAGAAUAGUUUAUCCAAUGAGUUGCUGAAAGUUUAAAAUAUUAGUUAACAAAGUUAAAAAAAUGGAAAGACGUGUGAAUUAUCUACGCUAUUAUUAUGUUACCAGUAAAAUAUGAUGACAUCCGCAAAAAACUUUAGCUGAACAACUGCAAGAGCUAGGCCGGAAAGAUCAUUCGAACCUCGAAUUGAAUAUAGAUCGUCUGCAGCUUCUAGAAGGCCCUUAUGAUAUGCACCGUGCCAUAUAUGAGCAUGGUCCAGUGGAUUAUGUUGAGCGUUAAAUGA
RNAcentral lists this long non-coding RNA (415 nucleotides) under Helianthus annuus (common sunflower). RNAcentral describes it as "hypothetical non coding rna". Lineage: Eukaryota; Viridiplantae; Streptophyta; Magnoliopsida; Asterales; Asteraceae. The record is from RNAcentral.